GAUGAACGCUGGCGGCGUGCUUAACACAUGCAAGUCGAACGAGACAUCUAGACGGAAAUCUUCGGACGGAGGCCUUGAUUUCGAGUGGCGGGCGGGUGAGUUAAGCCUGGGUUACCUGGCUCCAUCAGGGGGGAAAACGUUGGAAAAUACCUUAUAAUACCGAAAAGACCAACGCAACGCCUGUGGGGGGGGGAAAAACUCCGGUGGUAUGGGAUGGACCCGCGUUCGAUUAGGGAGUUGGCGGGGUAACGGCCCACCAAAGCGACGAUCGAUAGCCGAACUGAGAGGGUGACCGGCCACAUUGGGACUGAGACACGGCCCAAACUCCUACGGGAGGCAGCAGUGGGGAAUAUUGCACAAUGGGGGAAACCCUGAUGCAGCGACGCCGCGUGAGUGAUGAAGUAUUUCGGUAUGUAAAGCUCUAUCAGCAGGGAAGAAAAUGACGGUACCUGAGUAAGAAGCACCGGCUAACUACGUG
RNAcentral lists this ribosomal RNA (478 nucleotides) under uncultured bacterium. Its description in RNAcentral is "partial 16S ribosomal RNA". It matches the Rfam family "Bacterial small subunit ribosomal RNA", at positions 28 to 507 of the family's 1533-position model. The record is from RNAcentral.